Molecule: long non-coding RNA, 2050 nt
Organism: Hypomesus transpacificus
Lineage: Eukaryota; Metazoa; Chordata; Actinopteri; Osmeriformes; Osmeridae
Exons: 2
Source: RefSeq, a predicted model, not a curated record
GGGGGGCGGUGGGGGACAUCUCCCCCUGAGUGGGGGUGGGGGGCUGUGGGAGACAUCUCACCCAUGAGCAGAAGACGUUCUAGUUGAAGGAACAUUUGAAGAAACUAACUAAAACACUGUCCCUUGGAUGGCCCCAGCCCCUCUGCUGUUGAAUCCACGUUUUCACUUUUAGUUUUCUUUCAUUUUUAGCUGUCCGGUUUACUUUCAGCAAGACAGAACAAGACAAAUUAUAUAUGCUGUUGCUUUCUUGCACAUUGAUGAACGAAGGUAUCCCUCAACAAAAACGACAAAAGUUAAACUACUUUGAACAAUAGACAGAAUAGACAGAAUCCUUGUGUUGUGAAAACUCUUUCUGCAUAUACUUGUUAUUGAAAGGAACUAGCAUGGGUGGGUGUUAAUUGCAUGCAUUGAGAUGUGUCAGGUGUAUGGCUGUACUGGCUCAAGUGUAUGGCUGUAUACAGGCCUGGUCCAGGUGUAUGACUGUAUACAGGGCUGGUCCAGGUGUAUGACUGUAUACAGGGCUGGUCCAGGUGUAUGGCUGUAUACAGGGCUGGUCCAGGUGUAUGGCUGUAUACGGGGCUGGUCCAGGUGUAUUGCUGUAUACAGGGCUGGUCUAGGUGUAUUGCUCUAUACAGGCCUGGUCCAGGUGUAUGGCUGUUUUAUAGGGCUGGUCCAGGUGUAUUGCUGUAUACAGGGCUGGUCUAGGUGUAUUGCUGUAUACAGGGCUGGUCUAGGUGUAUUGCUCUAUACAGGCCUGGUCCAGGUGUAUUGCUCUAUACAGGGCUGGUCUAGGUGUAUGGCUGUAUACAGGCCUGGUCCAGGUGUAUGGCUGUAUACAGGCCUGGUCCAGGUGUAUGGCUGUAUAUAUGGCUGGUUCAGGUGUAUGGCUGUUCUAGUCCAGUUAACCUCCAGACUGCAGGUCCAGUGCCAGCUCACACCCACACAUCAUCGGGUCGAGCGAUGGUUGAGUUUAGAGGGGGGGGUGUUCCUGGAGCCUUGUAGCUCCUCUGCUCCGUGUCAAAGGAGAAUGGGGAUGCAUUUGGUCUGAUUUGGGUGCAUUGUGUUCUGAGACAGGGUAAACAUGUACAUAUGCCGUUUGUUUUCCUUUGUGGAUUAUUUUUGGUUUUGUUGUUGAACUUUUUACAUUUGAAUAUAUAUGGAUUACAUUGAACAUCACAUUUUUGGGUUAAUCGUAAUCAAAUUUAUUUUUAGAUGGAAGGGGGAUGAAUUGAUCAAUGAUCAUUUGCAUUUCAUUUUACUGAUGAGAAACUGUUCUUUGUAAAUAACAUCUAACCUUUAGGACAUAAUAAAUGCGUUGUACAGUGGUGGAAUGUCAAGCCGGUAGUCUAUAUCUGAUAUUAGCAUUUUUUUUUUCAGGUAGAUUUUAGAAUCUUCUACAAACUGCUAAAAGCAUGGGAUGGUCUUGUGUGGCAGAGGAGCGAUGCUAACCCAGCAGAAAGCUGGCAUGUUUGCAGUGUGUGGAUGCUCUGGUAGCUAGCUGGAGAACACACAGCUGGUACGCAGCUGGUAUGGCUUCUCCUCUGAUACUCUUCUGGUAUGUUGUACUUCUUCUAUGGUUGACCUGGUGUGCUGGCGUAGCUGGGAGUGUUGUGUGGCAACCAGGUAACUACGGGGGCCAGUGUGUCCUAAACUAUAUACUUGGUACAUUCAUUGGUUCUUUCAUUUCCACUACCAUUUCUCCUUAAGUUUAAGCCUUUUUAUAAAUUCUGGUACAAAUAUCAAUGUGCUUGAACCAUCGGGUUCUGACAAAUCCGUCAGUAAAUUAGCUGUUAGCCAGUCAAACAAAUAAUAAACGGACCUACAAUGCAAAAGGCCCACAUUUCCUCACCGCAGUUAGAAAUGGCAUGUUGCUCGACCAGCUGCAUGUUAUACGCUUUAAAGGAUGUUGUUCUGGAAUCUUUUGAAAACGUUCAGUUUUGAUUUACGGCUGAAAUUUUACUCCCACUCCAGUGCUGUCAGAAGUAUCAAAAAGACUUGGGCUCUACAGUCUGAAACUGAAAUAAAGGAAAAAGCAUUUGGAACAAAUGAA